UGAAAGUGCAUCUGCAACUUCCUCCUCCCUCUCCAGGCAGCAGAAGCUUUAGCGUGACUAGCUGAAAGGUCUCACUGGCACUGGAUCAUAGCUCAGAGUAAGACGGGAGAAUGUACUUCAUUGUUUUCCUCCCAAAAGGAAAGAUAAGAUUGCAAGGUCAGAGGAAAUCAGUAAAAUGACAGACAAUGUGUGGACUGCUGUGUCUUCAUUCAUUCUACCAGUCACGCUGAUAAUCAAGAGAGGUCGUCAGGAGAUUUCAAUCACACUCGGAAACUGGGAGAGGUCAUUUAGCUUUCAUGCUGCGAGAGGGAGAAAGAAGAGUGACAAGGCCCAGAGGGUUCAUCGAUUUUGGAAAGUUGUUUGUUUGAUCCCGGAGGUGAAGGAACCUGCCAUCUCCACACACUUAAGAAACUUGGCCCCCAG
RNAcentral lists this long non-coding RNA (423 nucleotides) under Chinchilla lanigera (long-tailed chinchilla). RNAcentral describes it as "lncRNA (ENSCLAG00000025557.1)". Lineage: Eukaryota; Metazoa; Chordata; Mammalia; Rodentia; Chinchillidae. The record is from RNAcentral.